UCCCUCUCAGGGUUGCACCUGGAGAGUUUCCAGUACUCUACCAGUCUCUGCUAUAGGAAGGAGAUUCAAUUAGAGGCAUAUCCAUUCCAUUCCUAGCUUGGGCAGUGGCUAGCGAGUGGAAGACAAUCUGCUAUAAGU
Molecule: small nucleolar RNA, 138 nt
Organism: Ornithorhynchus anatinus (platypus)
Lineage: Eukaryota; Metazoa; Chordata; Mammalia; Monotremata; Ornithorhynchidae
Source: RefSeq, a predicted model, not a curated record